This 1217-nucleotide ribosomal RNA is filed under the name uncultured Rhizaria. RNAcentral describes it as "SSU rRNA". It matches the Rfam family "Eukaryotic small subunit ribosomal RNA", at positions 577 to 1804 of the family's 1831-position model. The record is from RNAcentral.
CGGUAAUUCCAGCUCCAAUAGCGUACACUAAAGUUGUUGCAGUUAAAAAGCUCGUAGUUGGAUUUCUGCGGGGACGGAGCGGCCGGUCGCAACUUGCGACUCGAGCUAGCGCUUUCCCCGCAUCCUGCCGCGAACCGUGCUACCAUUAGUUUGGUGGCGCUGGGGAUCGGCUCGAUUACUUUGAGAAAGAUAGAGUGUUCAAAGCAGGCCACACGCCUUGAAUAAGUUAGCAUGGAAUAAUGACUAAGGACUUCGGUUCUAUUUUGUUGGUGUUCGGGACUGAAGUAAUGAUUGAUAGGGACAGUUGGGGCGGUCUGUAUUCCAAAGCGAGAGGUGAAAUUCUUAGACCUUCGGAAGACAAACAGCUGCGAAAGCGUUCCGCAAGGAUGUUCCCUUUGAUCAAGAACGAAAGUUGGGGGAUCGAAGACGAUCAGAUACCGUCGUAGUCUCAACUAUAAACUAUACCAGCUAGGGAUCGGUCAACGUUUAAUUAUUCGACUUGAUCGGCACCUUAUGAGAAAUCAAAGCAUCUGGGUUCCGGGGGGAGUAUGGUCGCAAGGCUGAAACUUAAAGGAAUUGACGGAAGGGCACCACCAGCCGUGGAGCCUGUGGCUUAAUUUGACUCAACACGGGAAAACUUACCAGGUCCAGACAUAGUAAGGAUUGACAGAUUGAUAGCUCUUUCUUGAUUCUGUGGGUGGUGGUGCAUGGCCGUUCUUAGUUGGUGGAGUGAUUUGUCUGGUUAAUUCCGUUAACGAACGAGACCCCAGCCUGCUAAAUAGCGCGGCUGAGCUUUGCUCGGUGCGAGCUUCUUAGAGGGACUAUGAUGCGCGAUAGCACAUGGAAGUUUGGGGCAAUAACAGGUCUGUGAUGCCCUUAGAUGUUCUGGGCCGCACACGGGCUACACUGGCGCCUGCAACGAGCAUAUCAGCUGGCCCGAGAGGGUCUUGGCUAAUCUUUUGAACCGGCGCCGUGCUUGGGAUUGACCUUUGCAAUUGUUGGUCAUGCAACGAGGAAUGCCUUGUAAACGCGAGUCAUCAGCUCGCAUUGAAUACGUCCCUGCCCUUUGUACACACCGCCCGUCGCUCCUACCGAUGAAUGUUCCGAUGAAAUUUUCGGAGAGCGCCGGAGAACGGGGCUCUGCCUUGCAGAUCUGGAGGCUCAAAGUCACUUAAAUCUGAACAUUUCGAGGAAGGAGAAGUCGUAACAAGGUACCG